UGGGGAGCGACCGUUGGGGAGCGACCGUUAGGGGGCAGCCGUUGGAGGGCGGCCGUGAGGGGGCGGCCCCGGGCUCUGCGCCCCCUGAGGAGCGGCGCUGGGGCGCCGAGGGGAAGAAGAGGAGGGAGGAGGCAGCCCCAUGGCGGAGGGGCUGGCUUUCGAGGCGCAGGGGCAGCGAGGGUUGGCUCAAAAUCCCCCCCCCGGUGAGGGCACUGCCGUGUCCCGAGCGUGGUGUGUGACCUGCUGGUCGGGAUUGCAAGGUGAGAUUGCAACUUUCGCCUUCACUCGGCGUUUCCCCCUGAAUUGCCCGCUUUUUCUUCAUGCGGGCAUACAGGCAGCUCGGGAAUGUAAAAGAGUUGCAGAAAUACUGCUUCUCCACAGUGUCACAGCUAUCGACUUAACCCCACGGAUCACCUCUUGAAGGGCACAUGUGUGUCACAGUCUUGUCUUUAGGCUUGCCAGUAACAUUUCUCAGUGUCACUCUUCUUACAGUGCUGUGGCUAAACUUUAGCCUCAUAUCAUCUGCCUGCGUUAUCAGUGUGGCACCUUUAAAAAGUAAGGUAGGCAAUGAAUGCCUGGUGGUGAUGGCCAGUUUCAGUUGCAGAGGAUGCAGUUCUUACUGCACUUCUGUCUGUUCGCCCCUGCUCAGACCCCACACGCAUGGAAGUGUUGUGCACAUCUGGAACUUAAAGGAGAUCAGCAGAGCCAUUCAGCUGCAGGGACUGCUUUUCUGGAUCGAGUCACUGGCAGGCACAGAGUUUCGUUAUGCCUGAAUAAUUUAUGAUCUAAUUUACGAUCCGAUACUUCUGUGAUACCCUCUGCAGAUAGAAAAUACGCAGUAAUGCCAAGAAGAUGGUCUUGUAACCUAGAAGGAUAAUCAGUAUGUCUUGAAAUCUCAAGUCGAACUACUGAGAUUUUUCAAGUUGAUUUUGAAUGAUUAUGAAUACCUGUGCUUAUUAUGAAUUACAGGACCUGCAUCAACUAAUACUUGCUAAAUUUGUCUUGUAUAGUAGGUUUUCAUUUUUCCCUUCCUUUUUUUUUUCCUCUCUCUUUUUUUUUUUUUUUCUUUUUCUAUUUCCCCGUGUGUUCACUCACUUGGCUAAUUUUUUGAAAGGUAGUUGCAAAAUUAGUUUCCACACCCUAAUUGUAACGGAUCACUUGUUUCUGUUGAGAGAUGAUGAAUUUCUUCGCUAAAUGUGGGUCUGGAUCUCUCUCUUUAAUGCAUGUUUUUUUUAAGUUGAAAGAAUGAUUGGACCAAGGCAUGGUAGUGUUAAGUUCUUAAGCUAAGAUAUAAAUGGACUUCUAAGUGAAAACUACCAUGUCUGUUCCAUCAGGUUUCUUUCAAAGUGCAUGACAGGUCCAAAAAAAGAAAUGCAAAGGGAAAAGUUGAUCUUAGUUUUAAAGCUGACCUCUGUAAGUUUGAAUACAUCUACUUGUGCUGUCAAAAUGUUAUUGCAACAGAAGAAUGAAUUUCAAAGUGUUCUUGCUGAUUUAUAACCUUUAUUUUGCCUUUUGUAAAAGUAUACCAGAGGUAUUAUUAGCCUUUCUUUUAUCUCUGUUAGAUCAGGGCCAGACUUAGGGCUAUGUGUAAACAGAUCAAAGUGAUGGUUUUGUUCCGCUUGUUAUUGCGUGAUUGCUAACUUAUCAAAGCUUUACACAAUCAGAUUAAUCCACUCCCGGAUUCAUUUCAUUCAUUGGGCUCUUGGGAAUGUUGUUGGCAACACCAUGGGAACUGGUGAUUCUCAUCCUUAGGGAACUGGUAUUUCAAAUGACUCUGGAAGACGAAUGCAGAUGAAAAAGAAAAUGAAUUCAGUGGCUGAAAUAAACAGUUUGGGCAUGCUGAAGUGUGUGGGAUUGCUUUACUUUUUUUUUUUUUUUCUGUGCUAAGACGUAACGCAGUGUUAUAAAAGUUUGAGCACUUAGUCUGACAAUGAGUAAAGCUAACAGGUGUGUUUCUGCAUUUAGCUUGCUGCCCAACAGACUGAGAUCAGCUCUCACCUUUGUAUUAACUGUUUUAAUCAAACUAUUUCAUUCAGCCCAACCUCUGUAAUAGAAGUUUGCUAAUAAAAUGUAAACUCCACAAUGCUUUUUAUUACAUUGGUAAUAAAAAUAACAAAAUACAUUUCUUCUGAAAUAUACCUUUUAACCAGAAAAAUAAACAUA
Anas platyrhynchos (mallard) is the source of this 2163-nucleotide long non-coding RNA. RefSeq lists it as uncharacterized. The record is from RefSeq and is a predicted model, not a curated record. NCBI's taxonomy places the organism in Eukaryota, Metazoa, Chordata, Aves, Anseriformes, Anatidae.